Molecule: long non-coding RNA, 1596 nt
Organism: Musa acuminata AAA Group (dessert banana)
Lineage: Eukaryota; Viridiplantae; Streptophyta; Magnoliopsida; Zingiberales; Musaceae
Exons: 2
Source: RefSeq, a predicted model, not a curated record
AGACCUCAGUCGAGAUCGAUUGCUCCCUCCGUCUCUCUCUCUCUCUCUCUCUCUCUCUCUGUAGCUCGAUCCUUAGCAGCUUAAGCGCAUUGAGUGCCUCGUUUGAUCGGCCGACAACCUCAACUCCAUCGAUCGCAAGUCUGUUACUUGCCUCGCAGGCUGAUUGAAAGUAAAUUGUUGUCCUGUGCUUUGGUUGCAAUUUUGGCCUCACAGUGCCAGUUGCUACAACUCAUUAUUGAUCUCUGUGGAUUUUACUAGUUUUUCAUUGGUUUGUCGAGAAAUAGUGGAGCCAGCUUGCCAAAACUCGAUGGGUUCCAGAUUUCUAUCACAUCAACUCAGCAAUGGAUUGUAUGUUUCAGGCCGGCCUGAGCCACCAAAAGAAAAACCUCUAACAAUGAGCUCCGCAGCCAUGCCAUAUACAGGAGGAGAUAUAAAAAAAUCAGGAGAGCUUGGAAAGAUGUUUGAUCUGCAUGUGGAGAAGUCCAGAAAAUCUGGACCUCUUAAUGUUCCUCUUAAGAGUACAUCUUUUGGAGGUGCUGCUUCCCAGUCAGGCCCUAUCAUGCCUAAUUCCUCUAGCCGGUCUAGCUAUUCUGGUUCACUCUCUUCUGCAGUUCCUGGUUCCGGUCCUUCACUAGUAACUGGAGGCUCCAACAGACAGAAAUCUAAUUAUGGGCCACUUAAACAUGGGGAUGUUGUUAAGAAGUCAUCUGGUCCUCAAUCUGGAGGGGUCACCCCAAUGGCUCGCCAGAAUUCUGGUCCGCUUCCACCAGUGCUUCCAGCUACAGGGCUUAUCACAUCUGGGCCUCUUAACUCAUCAGGUGCGCCUCGAAAAGUAUCUGGCCCUCUGGAAUCUGCUGGAUCUAUGAAGCUGCAUAGCACCUUCAUUGUUCAUAACCAGGCUGUUACGAAGCUCAGCCAGGAUGAUGGCUAUUCAUUUAGUGGGAGCUUGCCCAAACUGUUCUUGUGGUGUGUGGGUUUGUUGUUCAUAAUGGGGUUUAUUGCCGGUGGCUUCAUUCUUGGUGCUGUUCACAAUGGGAGUAUGCUCCAUUAUCUGUAGAUAUUUUCUCCCAAAUAAGAUCUUGCCUUGUAUUAGUAAUGAUGCAAUAUAGCAGUUGGUAGGAUGUCUGCUUCUUAUGAGGGUGAUUGAGCUGUCUAAGAAGGAAGUAUGCUCCAUUAUCUGUAGAUAUUUUCUCCCAAAUAAGAUCUUGCCUUGUAUUAGUAAUGAUGCAAUAUAGCAGUUGGUAGGAUGUCUGCUUCUUAUGAGGGUGAUUGAGCUGUCUAAGAAGGAAGUAUGCUCCAUUAUCUGUAGAUAUUUUCUCCCAAAUAAGAUCUUGCCUUGUAUUAGUAAUGAUGCAAUAUAGCAGUUGGUAGGAUGUCUGCUUCUUAUGAGGGUGAUUGAGCUGUCUAAGAAGGAAGUAUGCUCCAUUAUCUGUAGAUAUUUUCUCCCAAAUAAGAUCUUGCCUUGUAUUAGUAAUGAUGCAAUAUAGCAGUUGGUAGGAUGUCUGCUUCUUAUGAGGGUGAUUGAGCUGUCUAAGAAGGAAGUAUGCUCCAUUAUCUGUAGAUAUUUUCUCCCAAAUAAGAUCUUGCCUUGUAUUA